Molecule: long non-coding RNA, 560 nt
Filed under: Monodelphis domestica (gray short-tailed opossum)
Lineage: Eukaryota; Metazoa; Chordata; Mammalia; Didelphimorphia; Didelphidae
Description: lncRNA (ENSMODG00000037656.1)
Source: RNAcentral
AGAGUUUGUGACUUCAUCUACUUGAGUAUUCCAUCUGCUUCAAGUGACCAUCCUCUGCCUUAGAAGGGAUUUGGGGGAUUGCUUGGCCAAAAGACUCCACAGCUCUGUGUUUGCUGGCUGAAGAAGAGCAGAGCUGCCUGCUUGCCAACCCAGAGGCUGGCUGGUUGACAACUUGGUAACCUGUGUGAUUAGAGAACAUGCAUGGAAGACACAUCAGGAACUCAUGUGGCCAGGGCACAUACAUAUGGACAAGUAUGUCCAAGGCACAUUCACGGCUAGUAUAACACACAUCUUGUAUGAGGUGACUGAAUAAAUACUACGUUGGCUAUAGAAUCAGGAAGAUCUGAGCUCAACUCUUGUUUUAGACAGCAUAACUUGUGCCAUUCUGGGCAGGUGACUUUACCAGUUUGUGACUUUGUUUCCUCAUUUGUUAAAUAAGUGGCCUCAAUUCCCCUGGCCUCUAAGAUCGCUGUUGGCUCUAAAUCUUAGACCAGAAGAUCAGUGAGAUUCUUGCCCUCAAUGAGGUUUAAUAAAUGUUUGUAGGACUGAACUGAAUUUCA